CAGCCGUAAACUAUGCGCGUUAGGUGUACUGGUGACCACGAGUCACCGGGGUGCCGAAGGGAAACCGUGAAACGUGCCGCCUGGGAAGUACGGUCGCAAGGCUGAAACUUAAAGGAAUUGGCGGGGGAGCACCGCAACGGGAGGAGCGUGCGGUUUAAUUGGAUUUCAACACCGGAAAACUCACCAGGGGGAGACUGUUACAUGAAACCCAGACUAAUGAUCUUGGUUGAUUUUUCAGAGAGGAGGUGCAUGGCGUCAGUGACU
RNAcentral lists this ribosomal RNA (264 nucleotides) under uncultured archaeon. RNAcentral describes it as "partial 16S ribosomal RNA". It matches the Rfam family "Archaeal small subunit ribosomal RNA", at positions 748 to 1008 of the family's 1478-position model. The record is from RNAcentral.